Molecule: ribosomal RNA, 471 nt
Filed under: uncultured Diversispora
Lineage: Eukaryota; Fungi; Glomeromycota; Glomeromycetes; Diversisporales; Diversisporaceae
Description: SSU rRNA
Rfam family: Eukaryotic small subunit ribosomal RNA
Source: RNAcentral
AGCAGCCGCGGUAGUUCCAGCUCCAAUAGCGUAUAUUAAAGUUGUUGCAGUUAAAAAGCUCGUAGUUGAACUUCGGGGUUUACCCAUUGGUCAGGCUUAAUUGUCUGUACUGGUGAGAUAAAUCUCUACCUUCUGAGGAACUUUCAUGUCAUUAAUUUGGUGUGAUUGGAAAUCAGGACUGUUACUUUGAAAAAAUUAGAGUGUUUAAAGCAGGCUAACGUCUGAAUACAUUAGCAUGGAAUAAUGAAAUAGGACGGCUUGAUUCUAUUUCGUUGGUUUCUAGGAUCACCGUAAUGAUUAAUAGGGAUAGUUGGGGGCAUUAGUAUUCAAUUGUCAGAGGUGAAAUUCUUGGAUUUAUUGAAGACUAACUACUGCGAAAGCAUUUGCCAAGGAUGUUUUCAUUAAUCAAGAACGAAAGUUAGGGGAUCGAAGACGAUCAGAUACCGUCGUAGUCUUAACCAUAAACUAUGC